CGUCAAAGCUUAAUUUUACUUUAUUAAUAAUCCCAUAACCUAUUAGAACCCCUAACAGUACUAAAUAAUUCUAUAAACUUAUAGAACAUAUUAUGCUAAAACUAGUAACAAGAAGAAACCUUCUCUUCUAUGUAAGUGUAAAUCAGAACAGAAAACCUACUGAUCAUUAACAGCUAUAAACCACAGUAUUAACUUACUUAGAAAAUUCUACUUUUUAAACUGUUAACCUCACACAAGAGCAUAUAAAGAAAGAUUAUAAGAAAAAGAAGGAACUCGGCAAAUUCUGAUUCCGCCUGUUUACCAAAAACACCGCCUCCUGCUAACCUAUAGGAGGUCCAGCCUGCCCAGUGACCUAGUUUAACGGCCGCGGUAUCCUAACCGUGCGAAGGUAGCGUAAUCACCUGUUUUUUAAUUGAAGACCUGUAUGAAAGGCAUCACGAGAAUCGCACUGUCUCCUUUUUCUAAUCAGUGAAACUAAUCUCCCCGUGAAAAAGCGGGGAUGUAUAUACAAGACGAGAAGACCCUUUGGAGCUUUAGACAAAAUAGUAUUAUGCACCGCAUUUUAAACCUAUUCACUUAAGCAUUUAUAUUACAAGUCUUCGGUUGGGGCAACCGCGGAGUAAAAAUUACCCUCCAAGUUGAACGGAGCUUUCCUAAACUAAAAGACACAACUUUAUGUAUCAACAAAUUGACAUCUAUGACCCAAUAUUUUGAUUAUCGAACCAAGUUACCCUAGGGAUAACAGCGCAAUCCACUUCGAGAGUUCAUAUCGACAAGUGGGCUUACGACCUCG
This 793-nucleotide ribosomal RNA is filed under the name Eleutherodactylus pituinus. Its description in RNAcentral is "partial 16S ribosomal RNA". It matches the Rfam family "Bacterial large subunit ribosomal RNA", at positions 1487 to 2528 of the family's 2925-position model. The record is from RNAcentral. Lineage: Eukaryota; Metazoa; Chordata; Amphibia; Anura; Eleutherodactylidae.